RNAcentral lists this ribosomal RNA (440 nucleotides) under uncultured bacterium. Its description in RNAcentral is "partial 16S ribosomal RNA". It matches the Rfam family "Bacterial small subunit ribosomal RNA", at positions 338 to 795 of the family's 1533-position model. The record is from RNAcentral.
CCUACGGGUGGCAGCAGUGGGGAAUAUUGCACAAUGGGGGAAACCCUGAUGCAGCGACGCCGCGUGAGCGAGGAAGUAUUUCGGUAUGUAAAGCUCUAUCAGCAGGGACGAAAAAAGACGGUACCUGACUACGACGCCCCGGCUAACUACGUGCCAGCAGCCGCGGUAAUACGUAGGGAGCAAGCGUUGUCCGGAAUUACUGGGUGUAAAGGGAGCGUAGGCGGGAGGAUAAGUUGAAUGUGAAAUCUAUGGGCUCAACCCAUAGCUGCGUUCAAAACUGUUCUUCUUGAGUGAAGUAGAGGCAGGCGGAAUUCCUAGUGUAGCGGUGAAAUGCGUAGAUAUUAGGAGGAACACCAGUGGCGAAGGCGGCUUACUGGACUGUAACUGACGUUGAGGCUCGAAAGCGUGGGGAGCAAACAGGAUUAGAUACCCGGGUAGUC